GUGAAAUGAUGAUGAAGUUUAUCCAUUCGCUGAAUGUGCUGCCCUGCUCUUCCCGCAGCUCUCAGCUCCUGUUCUGGGAACUCUGACUUGUGUAAGCUCCAGAUGCCCUCCAGGCUGGCAGCGUUCUGCUGUAUAUUUGGCAGGUGUGUGUGGUGGUCUUACUAGUAGGAAGAGAUGGUGGCAGCAGGGGUGGAACCCAAUCAGUUUAGGGUCCCACCCAAGAUGAAUGACUGAUGUCUGAUCAC
This 245-nucleotide small nucleolar RNA is filed under the name Phascolarctos cinereus (koala). RNAcentral describes it as "Small nucleolar RNA SNORD17 (ENSPCIG00000000766.2)". It matches the Rfam family "Small nucleolar RNA SNORD17". Rfam says of the family: The snoRNA HBI-43 belongs to the C/D family of snoRNAs, guiding 2'O-ribose methylation at position U3797 of the 28S rRNA. Pseudouridylation in position U3797 is predicted to be guided by the H/ACA snoRNA ACA48. The record is from Rfam by way of RNAcentral. Lineage: Eukaryota; Metazoa; Chordata; Mammalia; Diprotodontia; Phascolarctidae.